Molecule: long non-coding RNA, 484 nt
Filed under: Malus domestica (apple)
Lineage: Eukaryota; Viridiplantae; Streptophyta; Magnoliopsida; Rosales; Rosaceae
Description: long non-coding RNA (MDOM_LNC016953)
Source: RNAcentral
ACUUGGACCAAUAGGUUGUGAUAGGCCCAAGUUCUUUUAAUGUGAUUAAAAUGUUUUGAUGUAGCCCAAAACUACUCCCUCAAAACGAAUAUUAAGUUGAUAAGCGAGAGAUGUUUUGAACAUCUCUUCGUAGGCCUUCCACCGUGGUGGGCUCCAAUCGUUUGUGACUCAUGCACCGGCUUCACCCUAUCAUGGGGGAGUACAAAGUAUGUGCUUACAUCCAGGAGGAAUCCAUAUAACAUAUGAUGAGGUGAGUGUAGGCAACGAGGAUAGCCGAUAUCAUAUCAUUGUGAGGCUAUUCUUGAACCCCUUCACAAACUAAGCAUGGUGGGAAUAACUUAACUAAGUGCAAUGGAGCCGAUAUCGUAUCAUCGUGAGGCAACAUUCUCUAGAGGCCAAACGGAUGGGUAAUUACAAAAGUUGUAAAUGAAUAAUGCGUUAUUCUCUCAUCAUUAUUUUUGCUAACCAACAUCGUAUCAUCGUG